UUUAUUAUUUUGCACGCGGGGCGUUCACAUUUGUGCAUUCCUUAACUGUCUGCCAUUUAUCAGCUGUGAUUGGCGGCUCAACCUCCACUUUUCCCACCCGACGAAGUAAAAUUUCAAUUACGCAUAUUUCAUAAUUGCCUCUUCUUGUUUUUACGGCCAAUCGUAAAACGAGACGUGCCACAAUCAUCAAUACUAGCAAAGCUAGCAAAAUAAAUGGGAGGACUAGAAUUGAUGCCAACACACUUCAACAAUUAAAGCAUAAAUUUCUACAAUGCCUCGAAUCACAUUUUGGCCAAAGCAACACAAUGAUGAUGAUAACUUAAUGGGCGUACCGUUUUGGUCCGCUUCUCGUCUGGCUGACCAGGUGUUGAGGUUGAUGUAAUGCCCGUCAGCGUUUUGGGCUACAAUUUAUUGCAUAACAGCCCCAGAAUCAAUAAAAUACAUUAGCCAAAGAAUGACAGAAAUUUACAAGUGAAUAGAGCGACAGCCAGCGACGACGAGCAGACAACAAGUUGGCUGAUUGAUUUUGUUGGCUUUGGGAAAUUCAAUUUGAAAUACACACAAAAAUCAAUCAAAAAUGCUGCGAACAAGUCACUGAAGCAGCACGGGCAAUAAUUGGCAAAAAAAAAAAAAGAAGAAAAGCAAAGUCAAAAUGUGUUUAUAAAAUAAAAUCAAAAACCGCAAAUGAAAUUAGCGUUGAGCUGGGACGGAAAGAGAGCGGGUGUUAAGCAGUAAACAGGAAAAUUGAAGGGCGUUGCUGCCAGGCCAACACAUGUAUCUAGACGCAAUUUAGUGGCCAUAAGUCAGUCAGAGGUCGUGGCUUGUUUAGUACGUGUAUCUCGCAGAUAAACGCCGAUUAUGCGGCUAUUUUUAUGCGGCGGCAAAAGCGACUGAGAAACGAAAAUAAAGAAACAAAAGAAUAGAGUCGAAAACCAGUUUUGUGGCCACUUUUGUAAUCAACGUUUAAUUGAAAAUUGAGCCCAGCACUUUGCCAAAUCAAAAACAUACAUUCAAGAGAAUAAAUAAAGCUGUUGGCUGCUUACUGUUUGCUUCUCGCCCACUCUUAAAAAUUGGGCCCCCGCAUUAUCAACUUGAGUUUUGUGGCCAAAAAGUAGCCAAAUGUUUUGGCCCGAGGGCAGCGCCGGCAAUUAACUGAGAGUAAUUGCAGUCGUAAAUUGAUUUGUCAUUGCAUUUAAAAUCUGAAUCGAUUAAUCUUCAAAUCAAAAUCUAUGAAUCUAUAAAUAAAUGUUUAUUAAGGCAGCCAACUCUCUUUUUUUCUGUCCGUCCGUCUGUCGAAUAGAAAUUUCAUGCAAAUUCUUUGAUAUCACGGCAAAAUGGAACAAAUGUCGUCUAAACCAUAUUUCAGCACUUUUACGCGAAUUGUGAAAGUGUCGAAAUCGAACUGGAAUCACAGCCACGCCACAGCAUGCCACCUCAGAUCAGCUCAGACCACCGCAUACCACACCGCACCGCACCGCACACACACCUUUCCACCCGCACGGUAGCCGAAAAAAAAGAUCUCGAGUUGAAAAUCGUGAUUUUCUUGAAAUGUUUCUGCCACUUUGCGGACAUCGUUGUGAGCCUAGAUUUCGCGUAAAAAUUGUUAACAGCAGCUGCGCACAAGACUCUUCCUUCUCUCUCUUCGUCUCUCUCUCUCUCUCUCUCGCUGUAGGCCUGGUCAAAAAGUGCAGUCUAAUGCCGCUGAGAUCGUUGCAUUUGUUAUUCAAGUCUGCGCGUUCGCAUCACAAUUAAGCUGAAGAAACAUGUGUAACUCCAACUCGAGUACGAAGUUAACAGGCAGGUCAACAGCGACGUCUUCGAGUGACGCCCACGCGGUCGGUACUUGCCGCUGCAACUGUUGCAAGUGGCACGUUAAUGAGCCCCGCAAAGUUGUUGCACUUGAUAAAUUGCGCAAAAUGGACAAAAAGAAAACACAGACGUACUACGAAUUAUGGCCAGAAAACUGGGCGAGGAACUAUGCUAUGCUAUGUGCUAUGUGCGCGUCAACUAACGGCAUUUUGUUAACAAGAAAGAUCCUGUCCACUAAUUCCUAUUCAGAAGUGCUCGAGAUCUGCGCUUCAGGCUUCAUUAGCCAGCGUAUGACUUGGACAAAUAGUAAAAGUUCCCAACAAGUUGCGAUGGCUGGCUUCCUGGUUGUCUGGUUAACUGGCUGCUGUGCUGUGGCUGUGGCUGCUUUGGCUAAUGCGAUGCACUUGCCUUAGAGAGAUGCUCGCGUAUGCGUAUGAUGACUUAAUUGCGCAUUUUAACAGACAAACCCAGACACCGACUGAGCGAGAGAUGCAGACAUCUGGCCUUUGAGAGAGCUGUGUUUUGACAGGCGACGAUUAGACUUGAGUCAAUUCUGUUCCCUAGCAUCUUUUGGUUAAUUGAAAUGUUGCUGUUUGUUUGAUGUCCCACACACACACACAGACAGACACAGCUGCACGAGUCCAUUAACAGUUAACAAGGAAAUGCAAUCGGAGCAAUGCGGCAUUUCAAAGUGUGCUCAAGUUAAUCCUUUUAUGCCUCACUGCACAACUUUGCAGAACGACUGUGAGAAAGUAUUGAAAGUAUCUUUCACUCAAAGUUCUAUUGCUAGUCGAGUUGUAUGUGUGAUGCAUAUGAUGCCGUCAUUAAUUAUAUGCCACACUUCCGUUUGGCCUGGCCCCCGGCCAUGUUGCAAGUGCAACACACAUCACACGAAGCGCAUCCAACCCAUUUGGUCAUACUUGGCUGACCCGAGUUGUUGCUUCUAGCUUCAUGGUCAGCUGCCUCUUGCGUCGCGUUGCAACCACAAGAACAAUGGGGUUGGCCUCCAGGUUCUUCUGCCGCAGGGUUGAGCCUAGCUGUUCCACUCACUUCUUUGCAUGUUGUAUUUCCUUCUUUUUUUGGUAAUUGUCGCGUUUUGUUAGGGGUCGCAAACAGUUUCCAGUUUCCCACGUUACAACAGGUUGUGGCACCUGUAAAGCGCCUCAGUCUCAGUCUGAGUGUGAGUCUCAGUUCAAGUUCCAGACACAUCCAUCAGCGAUGAUGUUAUACGCUUCGUUGAUUCGCUGCCAGCGUUUGUCAUACGAGACCAGACAAUAAAUUUAAUGGCAUUUUCUGUCUGUGUUUUUGUAUCACUUUCUUGUUGUUGUCCGAUUUCUUUUCUUCUCGUUUCUACGAAAAUUUCUUAUUUACUGUGUCAAUUAUAUUUAUUUUCUUUGCUGCCCAUCUAUAACAAUUUUUCUGCUUUGCUUUUUCAUUCUUAAUUUAAUCAACUUUGCUUCGCUUUUUAUUUCUCUUUUUUUUAAUCUUUUUGAUGUGCUUUAAUUUGAUGUGAAGCCAACACAAUUACAUUUAUCAUCAUCGUCACAUCAGCGGCACAGCAUCUCUCGCUGCUGUACUCGUAUUAUUUUUCCUCCAUCUCAACUCAUCAAAUUAAAGAGAAAUAUCUAAUUUAUGUCUAAGAACUGUGGGAGUUUUUCCAGCCACGAAAUCUACACGUACUUUUCAGUUCGCAUAUCAUUGCCACCCAAUCUACAGCAAUUACAUACUAAGCUGAGAGCUGGCUUCCAAUUGUCUUUGGGGGAAUGGGAACUAACUGCCAUUAAUUUAAUAAGACUUAAAAGCAGCAGUAACGUUUGUUUUUUUCAUUCCAAAUUGCCAACUAAUUGGCUAACUAUUUCACAGCUCGAAAAAAAGAAUAAAAACCAAACUAUUCAUUAUAAUCCAGUUUAUUUGGUAGUUUGAUUGUUAUAAAUUUAAACAAUGAAAAAAACUUGGCAAUCAAGUUGGUGAAACAUGAACUUGAAACUGAAUUUCAUAGAUUGAAUUUGGUAUUCGAAUUUGCAAAAAUGUUGAGCUUGUGAGGGGAGAUUGAAUUACAGCAGAAGAACAAGAACAUUUUGCAUAAAUUAGAGCGAAGCACAUGCAACAUGGAAAUCGCUGAAACGUGUCCAAAGUCGCUGACAAGCAGUCAGUGGCAUACAGUGGCGCAUGCAGCAUUGGGGGCAUGGGGCAAGGGCAGUGUUCUUGUUCUCCGUCUUGUUCUUGUUGCAGUGGUUGGAGUCCGCAUAAAAUUAUCCAAAAGCUGUUAAUGACAGAGCGAGACUGCGAAUCGAGGAAUCGCGCUCAACAAAAACUCAACACAGCGGCGAAUCGAAACGACUCGAUUUGAGUUAAGUUUAGAGAAAGAGAGACUAAUGCCACAUGGUGCAUGCAACAACGCCGACACUCAAGAUGCAGUUCUCCACCUCUUCUUCUUCUGCAGUCAGAUUAAUUAUGCAUUUUAGCCAAUGUUGUUGACUAUGCUGAGAUGCUGCCGCUGCCGCUGUUGAUGCCAAAGCUGAUGCCGAUGCUGAUGCAGCAGUUGCUACAUGUUGCGACUGCGCAAAUGCAGCUUAUCGGCAACCUGCGCCUAGGCUGCUGCUGCUGCCUGUCUAACGGCACUCUUGCACUAAAUCACUCGCGGUACUUAAAGAGGCGUUGCUGUUGCUGUUGCUGUUACUGUUGUUGCUGCACACACAAAACUUGUGCAACGGGCUCCAGUUCAGCUACAGGUUGGCGGCCCAUGAAGCACUCAAAUGUUAGGCGCAGACAGGCAACAAACAACACAACAAACAACGCACACAAAAUGUGUGCAUGCUCAUAAAAAAUGCAUAAACUUUUGAGCGACAUCAACACGUGUUGCACACACACACACAAAGCCACAGCUACAGACGUGGUUGCAUGUACAACGCUUAUCGCUGCUGUUGUUGUCGCUAGGCCAUUGUUCGUGUGUGACGUAAACUCAGUCAAAUGCAGCAGUUGCCCCCAAGUCAAAAAAACUAUACAACACAAAAAGAGCUUUUUUUUAAAUAUUAUACGCUCGCUUUUUACUACUGCAACUGGUUCCGUUUAUUUUUUAAUUUUUUGACAGUCAACAUGACCCCGCCCACUUUGGGGGCAAUUCGGAAAGACAAUGAAAGACGGCGAGAAAAAGAUAGACUAUAAAAAAACAGAGAAACACGCAACAAGGUCAGAGCACUGCGACUAAGGUUAAGACUGUGGCUUAGACUAAGGCCAGCGAUUUCGUAAUGGGUCUAGAAAGAGAGCGGGAAGGAGGGAAUGAAGAAGGGAGGGAGCGAGCAGAAGUAGCCUGCUUUGACACGCCCACAGCACAACAUUUUAAUUUAACAGCGUUCGAUUCUGGAGCAGCCCCCACACUGACGAGGCGUGCUCCAUGAAAUCUUCUUAAAUGGCAGCUACGAUCUCUUGAAAGAUCGUGUGCUACGCCAUGCAGAUAAUACAGGGAUUGGGAUUCAGUUCAAGCUUUGGCAUUGGCCUUCGAAUUCUCAUAGUCUUGGCUAAAUUGGGAGCUGACGUUUAUCUUUUGACCAAUUGUGAAAGUAAUUUAAUGCGGAUUGAUUCGGUGGCUGCUUCUAUCUCUCUCUCUCUCUCUCGUUGUAUCUCCCUCUCUUUUUUUUCAAUUACAAAGAAUUGCAUGUUUCGUUUUAAUUUCCACGUAGUUCAAUUGCCGUCUCAGUCUCCUUCUCCACUUCUCCGUUUCUGCGUGUCGUAGUGCACUUCUUUCUGGGAAACUGGUUGUGUGCCUAAAUGAUUUUGAACCAGUUACGUGUAACUGCUGCUCCUCCUGCUCCGACUCCGACUUCGUCUACGACUGCUGUUUCCAGUUCUGUGGAAACUGCGUGUCUAAAAUUUAAUGAAAUCGCGGUAAUAUCCAAUAGGAAAGAAAGCAACAUUGAAAUGCAUUCGCGUUGCUUUACUUCAAAUGCCCUGCCAAUCAGCCUCGAUGUUAUUGCUGCUGCUGCUGCUGCUGUGGAUAAUUGAGAGAUAUUAUUAUUAGCUAUGUAUGUAUGUUAGGCGGCACGGCAUUGGCAUUUUGAAUUGAACGUGCUGCUGAAAUGUUGCCUAAUGAGCUAUGAAUUGAGUUGCAUAAGACUACAAAUGCUCAAAUUAACUCGAUGAGUCAAUCUUGAAUGCAACACAAUGACUUUGAGUGUUACGGAUUAAACGGAUAAGUCAAAUUUUAUAUGCAUAUAACUCUAUUUGCAUGUCAAAAUGAAGAAAUUAGUCUCAAAAGAGUUUAUAAUAAGUGAGAAAAAAGCAAUUAAAGCAGGACAAUUGUGAAGCAAAAUGACUUCAAGUGUUUUGGAUAAUACGGAUAAGUUAAAUUUU
Long non-coding RNA from Drosophila sulfurigaster albostrigata, 6159 nucleotides. RefSeq lists it as uncharacterized. Lineage: Eukaryota; Metazoa; Arthropoda; Insecta; Diptera; Drosophilidae. The record is from RefSeq and is a predicted model, not a curated record. The transcript has 3 exons.